This 629-nucleotide unclassified non-coding RNA is filed under the name Hevea brasiliensis (rubber tree). The record is from RNAcentral. Lineage: Eukaryota; Viridiplantae; Streptophyta; Magnoliopsida; Malpighiales; Euphorbiaceae.
CCCUAUCUCUACCUCUAUCUCUAUCUCCAUUUCUAUUCCUAUCUCCUUCAGAAUUCUCUGAUUCAGAUACCAUCCCAGCUCGAAUUCCUUGAAGCAAUUGUACCAUUGUAGCUGAAUCUCUUCUUCUUCUUCUUCUCAUGACUGAUUCAAUCUCACGGUCUAAUUCACUUUCUCCUCCAUGGUGUGCCUCACCAUCAUCGCUGUCAUCGCCAUCUUCUUCAAACUCCAUUCUUCUUAAUCUUCUACGUAAACGAGGAUUUCCCAUCAUUCCAAGCAAGACUGGGGCCCAAAGGGAGAGUGCACGAUCAGAAUUGAAAUCAGAAUCAGGCUCCUGAUUUUCCCUUGUACUACUACUCAUUUCUUCUACAAAUCCACUUUGACAAAAUGGGCAUUUGAUCUCAACUUCCAUUAUGGGGUUCACCCUUUGAGAGCACCUGUGACACCAAUACCGCGUUGCCAUUGCUUCCUCCAUUCUCUCUCUUUCCCCUCCUCAGUAACCACCUUGUCUCGUAAUCCAAAAUUGGAACCGAACGGCGAAUUUGAUGGAGAAGAAUACGCGGACUUUGGNAACCAAAUGAAUAAAACAGAUAAUUAACUCAGAAUCUCUAAAUAGCAGAGCACCACAAAAG